RNAcentral lists this ribosomal RNA (491 nucleotides) under uncultured bacterium. RNAcentral's name for it is "partial 16S ribosomal RNA". It matches the Rfam family "Bacterial small subunit ribosomal RNA", at positions 29 to 506 of the family's 1533-position model. The record is from RNAcentral.
AGUGAACGCUGGCGGUAGGCCUAACACAUGCAAGUCGAACGGCAGCACAGUAAGAGCUUGCUCUUACGGGUGGCGAGUGGCGGACGGGUGAGGAAUACAUCGGAAUCUACUUUUUCGUGGGGGAUAACGUAGGGAAACUUACGCUAAUACCGCAUACGACCUACGGGUGAAAGCAGUGGAUCUUCGGACCUUGCGCGAUUGAAUGAGCCGAUGUCGGAUUAGCUAGUUGGCGGGGUAAAGGCCCACCAAGGCGACGAUCCGUAGCUGGUCUGAGAGGAUGAGCAGCCACACUGGAACUGAGACACGGUCCAGACUCCUACGGGAGGCAGCAGUGGGGAAUAUUGGACAAUGGGCGCAAGCCUGAUCCAGCCAUACCGCGUGGGUGAAGAAGGCCUUCGGGUUGUAAAGCCCUUUUGUUGGGAAAGAAAAGCAGCAGGUUAAUACCCCGCUGUUCUGACGGUACCCAAAGAAUAAGCACCGGCUAACUUCGU